UUCUCAGCGAUUCUUGGUGAGUUUAAUUUUGAUUUGUUUUGGUGAAAAACUGUGAUUUGUUUGGUUUUUAAUCUCAAUUAUAACCACAUUUUGUUGGUUAUUCAUCAGCUUAGUAGCUUCAAAAUCUCAUCUCGCUUUGCUUAUUUGCUUUCUUUGAUAGAAAGAAUCUUACAUUGUUCUAUGCCCAGCUAGUUUGCCUUAUUUGCAGAGAAUCUGCAGCAGACCAUCUUCUCCAAUUAUUCCAAGGCCUCUGCAUCACUACUUUCAACAAUUGGUAAUUGCAAUUCAAAUCCUCUUAGUAUUGUCGUUGCUAUUCUCCCCCGCAGUUCCCGCCAAGUCCCGUCGCUCAAUCUCUGAAAUAGGGUUAGGUUAGCAACUCAUGCAAAUUUCAAAGAUUUUGUCCUUACUGCUGGGUUGGAGUUCUUUCCUUUAGGUGGAGAUCCAAAAGUUCUUGCCGAAUAUAUGGUCAAGAAUAAAGGUUUCUUGCCAUCGGGACCUUCGGAAGUAUCUAUUUAGCGACAGCAAAUAAAAGAAAUAAUAUUUUCUUUACUUCCUGCGUGC
This is a long non-coding RNA of Rosa chinensis, 561 nucleotides long. RefSeq lists it as uncharacterized. Lineage: Eukaryota; Viridiplantae; Streptophyta; Magnoliopsida; Rosales; Rosaceae. The record is from RefSeq and is a predicted model, not a curated record. The transcript has 3 exons.